CUAACGAGGAUUCCCCUAGUAACGGCGAGUGAAGCGGGAAGAGCUCAAAUUUGAAAUCUGACGGUCUAUUGGCCGUCCGAGUUGUAGUCUGGAGAAGCGUUUUCUACCUCGGACCGUGUACAAGUCCCUUGGAACAGGGCSUCGCAGAGGGUGAGAAUCCCGUCUUUGACACGGACUGCCGAUGGUUAUACGAUGCGCUCUCAAAGAGUCGAGUUGUUUGGGAAUGCAGCUCAAAACGGGUGGUAAAUUCCAUCUAAAGCUAAAUAUUGGCGAAAGACCGAUAGCGAACAAGUACCGUGAGGGAAAGAUGAAAAGCACUUUGGAAAGAGAGUUAAACAGUACGUGAAAUUGUUGAAAGGGAAACGCUUGAAGUCAGUCGCGUCUUCCGGGACUCAGCCCUUGCUUUUUUUAGCUGGGUGUAUUUCCUGGGACGACGGGCCAGCGUCGAUUUCGACCGUCGGAGAAAGGCCUUGGGAACGUGGCACCUGUUUUUGGGUGUGUUAUAGCCCUCGGUCGCAUGCGACGGUUGGGAUCGAGGAUCGCAGCACGCCUUUUUGGCCGGGGUUCGCCCACGUAACGUGCUUAGGAUGCUGGCGUAAUGGCUUUAAGCGACCCGUCUUGA
Molecule: ribosomal RNA, 622 nt
Filed under: Ramaria celerivirescens
Lineage: Eukaryota; Fungi; Basidiomycota; Agaricomycetes; Gomphales; Gomphaceae
Description: eukaryotic LSU rRNA
Rfam family: Eukaryotic large subunit ribosomal RNA
Source: RNAcentral